RNAcentral lists this ribosomal RNA (446 nucleotides) under uncultured bacterium. Its description in RNAcentral is "partial 16S ribosomal RNA". It matches the Rfam family "Bacterial small subunit ribosomal RNA", at positions 330 to 793 of the family's 1533-position model. The record is from RNAcentral.
CCCAGACUCCUACGGGAGGCAGCAGUGGGGGAUAUUGCACAAUGGGGGGAACCCUGAUGCAGCGACGCCGCGUGGGUGAAGGAGUGUUUCGGCGCGUAAAGCCCUGUCAGCAGGGAAGAAAAUGACGGUACCUGAAGAAGAAGCCCCGGCUAACUACGUGCCAGCAGCCGCGGUAAUACGUAGGGGGCAAGCGUUAUCCGGAUUUACUGGGUGUAAAGGGGGCGCAGACGGCGAUGCAAGCCAGGAGUGAAAGCCCGGGGCCCAACCCCGGGACUGCUCUUGGAACUGCGUGGCUGGAGUGCAGGAGGGGCAGGCGGAAUUCCUGGUGUAGCGGUGAAAUGCGUAGAUAUCAGGAGGAACACCGGUGGCGAAGGCGGCCUGCUGGACUGCAACUGACGUUGAGGCCCGAAAGCGUGGGGAGCAAACAGGAUUAGAUACCCCGGUAC